AACGAGAAAUGCCGCGAGUGUGAAGCUGUUGCGAGUAUGCGGGUCAAUCGUCGCAACAGCUUC
RNAcentral lists this small RNA (63 nucleotides) under Mycolicibacterium smegmatis MC2 155. Its description in RNAcentral is "Mycobacterium smegmatis str. MC2 155 Mycobacterium sRNA Ms_IGR-8". It matches the Rfam family "Mycobacterium sRNA Ms_IGR-8". The record is from Rfam by way of RNAcentral. Lineage: Bacteria; Bacillati; Actinomycetota; Actinomycetes; Mycobacteriales; Mycobacteriaceae.